Molecule: long non-coding RNA, 1131 nt
Organism: Canis lupus familiaris (dog)
Lineage: Eukaryota; Metazoa; Chordata; Mammalia; Carnivora; Canidae
Exons: 3
Source: RefSeq, a predicted model, not a curated record
GCACCUCCAGCCUUGCCAAGACGCUGUGGUACUGGGCUGGCCGCUGUGCCUUGCGGGAGAAGCAGGGAAGGAAAACCACGCCUUUCCCGAGCCUGGAGGGUGCUGACAGCCUCAGGGUUCCGCGCGAGGGGUGAUGGGAAGUAGCCCCCCCAAGAGGGCUUUGAGGGCUGGGGACCCCCCCCCGAAUACCGGGUCGGGUCCUGCUUUCUCACCAGGACUGUGCCAUGACCCAGAUGGAGGCGGCCUUUGUCUGGGGUCUCGCUCUCCUAGAACCCCCACGGUCAUAGAGAAGGCCAAGCAGCAGCCUGGCUCGCCUUCUCGGAUUCUUGGAAUAAGCUGUAAUCUCCAUUCUGCAUUGCCCUUCUUACCUGCUUCUCCCAGCCCCUAACGCAAAUGCUUCCAAGCACGGCACAAAAACGUUAGCCUGGGGAACCGAGGGCCUCUCAGGAGCUAGACUGUAAGCCUUUGCUGGCUGUCGCCAAUGUGCGGUGUCUCAGCCGGCCUUCAGGAACCAAAGCUGGGAGUGUGUUCAGUCAGCACCUGCCUUUCUGAGCCGGGCAUCCUGGACCAGCCUCACUUCCUUGACUGAGGCAGACCGAGAGAGAAACUAAAAAUUGACGCAGUGCAACAUUAGUUUGACCUUUUUACUGCUGAUCCUUUACAACAAAAUCUCUCCUGAUUUGUCUUCUCUUGAUGUCUCAUCUCUGAGAAAUUAAAUACAUCAUCUUCAGCCUUAGGCCAUCUUUCCAAUACUCAUCUCAUACUGAUCCUGUCAAUCUACCAGGUAUCUGGAACCCAAUUCUUUAGAGUCAUUGUUCACUUACAGAACCUAAUUUUUCCUUUGAGAACUUCUUUUUUACUUGACUUUCUUUCCAUUCCCAUUACCCUUAUUCUGGUCUAGGGUUUCAUUAAUUGAUGUCUUUAUUUCUCUGUAAUACUUCCAACCAGGUUUUCCUACUAUGUAUCUCCUACUAUGUAGACUCUAAAGUUCAGAGUCUAAGCUGAAACAUGGCAUACAAAAAAAAAAAAAUCAGCAUACAGGUCUUCUUUAAAUUUCUUUCUCUUCUAGCUCAGCGGUUUAGCACCUGCAUUUGGCCCAAGGGCAUGAUCCUGUGGUUCUGGGAUUGAGUC